Molecule: unclassified non-coding RNA, 1455 nt
Filed under: Schistocerca americana (American grasshopper)
Lineage: Eukaryota; Metazoa; Arthropoda; Insecta; Orthoptera; Acrididae
Description: uncharacterized LOC124616692, transcript variant X1
Source: RNAcentral
GCUUAUUGUGCUAAAUAAAGGUAAACUGACGAGUAAACUUAAGGACAUUCGGCUUCGGCAUAAAUCAGGGAAUAAUAUUAAGGAGGACUUCAUUACUAUGGAGUUUUCUGGUUGGAAAGUGCGUUCUUCUUCAAGAAGGUCAACAGAUUAUUUUGUAUAUGAUAAUGACUUUCAGUGCAACUGCAGAUUGAUGUGCAUUAAAUGCAGGGCUUGCAUUCAUAGGUAUUCUUGUACAUGUAUUGACUAUACCAUCAAAUGGAAUAUGUGCAAGCACAUACAUAGUGUUUGCCAGAUUCAGUUAAAGCAGCAACCUUCUGAACACCUAAGAAAUAGUGAAGUUACACUUACUGAGAGUGAAGAUAUUUCUGUUGUAGACGAGGAAACAGAAAUACUAGUGGAGGUAACGAAAAAAAGUGUUAAUGAUUCUGUACCUUUGUCAGUCCAAAGAAGGGAACUUAUCGCUGAGUUUUCUGGUAUUGUAUCUGAGCUGACCUCAAAUGACUUAGAAACUGCUAAAAAAAUGUUAUCGUCACUAAAGGCAACUGUAGCUGUCGGAAUGUUGCAGCAAAAACAGGCACCGCUGCAGAUAGAAAGGAAACAAUCACAAAAGAUUUUACCUCAACAUAGACUGUACUCUACAAAGAAAAACAAAAGGAGUAAUAAUGCAUCCCUGGUGCUACCAAAUUCAGAAGAAUCCAGUUUGAUGAAAUUAUCUCUACUGGCAGACAAAGAAGAUGCACUUGUGGGAAAAGGUUCAGCUGUUAAAAAGCAACCAACAAUAAAAAAUACAGAGGGUGUAGCAGGUCCAUUCCCCAUUACAGCAUGUGCCCUACAGCACAGCCCGACGAAUCGCUCAACUCCCAUGAUUCAGCCAAUAGCAAAACAGGCUGAGGUGGUAUCUAGUCAGUCUCUCGCUACAUCGUAUGUGCUGAAACACAGCCCGAGGAAUAGCUCAACUUCCACAAUUCAACCAAUACCAAAACAGGCUGUGGUGGUACCACAUCCAUCCAUCGGUACAGUGCGUGUGUUGCUACACAGCUCAACAAAUGGUGCUGUUCUCCCACAUUUAAACCAGUGACAGGGCAGGAUAAGAUGGUAUCAGUGCCUUCCCUUACUACAGCGCAUGUUCUGCAACACGGCUAUGGAAUGCAACCUGUGAUGCCAGGAAACUCACAGAUAAACUAAAUCAUGUGCCAGAUGUCGAGCACCAUUGUGUUUGGAAGUUCCAUUGUUCUGUGUGCGAACAGUUUUGGAAGUUUGGAUGAAUCAAGUUUCUGAAACUGACUGGAAAGAAACUUAAUUUUCAAAAACUAAGAUUUUAUUGCAAUUCAUGAUACUGUGAAAUAUUUUUAGAAUUGCUGUACAUUCAGCUAAAAGUUACAGUAAAAUUUUCUUGUAAGUUAUGCCUGCAGAAACUUUUGUACUGAAUUUAAUCUUUUCUUUUGGUUUAUAAUU